AGAGUUUGAUCCUGGCUCAGGACGAACGCUGGCGGCGUGCUUAACACAUGCAAGUCGAACGAGAGGACAAGAGAAGCUUGCUUCUUUUGGAAUCGAGUGGCAAACGGGUGUGUAACACGUAAACAACCUGCCUUCAGGAUGGGGACAACAGACGGAAACGACUGCUAAUACCGAAUACGCUUGGAAGACCGCAUGAUCUUCCAAGGAAAGGGUGGCCUCUACCUGUAAGCUAUCGCCUGAAGAGGGGUUUGCGUCUGAUUAGGCAGUUGGUGAGGUAACGGCCCACCAAACCUACGAUCAGUAGCCGGUCUGAGAGGAUGAACGGCCACACUGGAACUGAGACACGGUCCAGACUCCUACGGGAGGCAGCAGUGGGGAAUCUUCCGCAAUGGGCGAAAGCCUGACGGAGCAACGCCGCGUGAGUGAUGACGGCCUUCGGGUUGUAAAGCUCUGUGAUCGGGGACGAACGGUCCGUAAGUCAAUACCUUAUGGAAGUGACGGUACCCGAAUAGCAAGCCACGGCUAACUACGUGCCAGCAGCCGCGGUAAUACGUAGGUGGCAAGCGUUGUCCGGAAUUAUUGGGCGUAAAGCGCGCGCAGGCGGCUUUCUAAGUCCAUCUUAAAAGUGCGGGGCUUAACCCCGUGAUGGGAUGGAAACUGGAAAGCUGGAGUAUCGGAGAGGAAAGUGGAAUUCCUAGUGUAGCGGUGAAAUGCGUAGAGAUUAGGAAGAACACCGGUGGCGAAGGCGACUUUCUGGACGACAACUGACGCUGAGGCGCGAAAGCGUGGGGAGCAAACAGGAUUAGAUACCCUGGUAGUCCACGCCCUAAACGAUGUCUACUGGUUGUUGGGGUUUUUUAACCUUGGUAACGAAGCUAACGCGUGAAGUAGACCGCCUGGGGAGUACGGUCGCAAGAUUAAAACUCAAAGGAAUUGACGGGGACCCGCACAAGCGGUGGAUGAUGUGGAUUAAUUCGAUGCAACGCGAAAAACCUUACCUAGCCUUGACAUGCCAGGAAUCCUGAAGAGAUUCGGGAGUGCCCGCGAGGGAAUCUGGACACAGGUGCUGCAUGGCUGUCGUCAGCUCGUGUCGUGAGAUGUUGGGUUAAGUCCCGCAACGAGCGCAACCCUUGUCACUAGUUGCUACGCAAGAGCACUCUAGUGAGACUGCCGGUGACAAACCGGAGGAAGGUGGGGAUGACGUCAAGUCCUCAUGGCCCUUAUGGCUAGGGCCUCACACGUCAUACAAUGGUCGGAACAGAGGGCAGCGAAGCCGCGAGGUGGAGCAAAUCCCAGAAAACCGAUCGUAGUCCGGAUUGCAGUCUGCAACUCGACUGCAUGAAGUCGGAAUCGCUAGUAAUCGCGGAUCAGCAUGCCGCAGUGAAUACGUUCCCGGGUCUUGUACACACCGCCCGUCACACCAUGGGAGUGGGGUUCACCAGAAGACGUUUGUUUAACCGCAAGGAGGACGGCGUCCACGGUGGGCUUCAUGACUGGGGUGAAGUCGUAACAAGGUA
This 1517-nucleotide ribosomal RNA is filed under the name metagenome. RNAcentral's name for it is "bacterial SSU rRNA". It matches the Rfam family "Bacterial small subunit ribosomal RNA". The record is from RNAcentral.